CGGAAAUUGAAGAGGGAAAUCCCAGAAUGGCUGAAACCACAGUAGGGCACGGACCAAAUCAUUAAUCCAGGCUGGAUUAAUGAGUGGUCCUCCAGACCACUGUGCUCUUGUCAUCAAGGAGAUCUAAAGUAAAGAGGUCUACCUUUCCAUCUACAGUUGCCUGAUUUAUGGAGGACAAGCCUCUGGCCUUGUUUCUAAAUUCCAUUCAAGGCAUCUACACUAAAAAACAGAUGGGACACGGACGCUAAGAAACUCUCCCAAGGACAAGGAUACACAACCAAUAAGCAGCAGAGUCAACAUCACAUGGUAGUCAAGUUCCAGAAUCUAUACCCUUAACCUCUGCAAUCUGCAGACUUUCUUCUGAUAGCCACCCAUUGACUACAAACAAAGGGGAUGGCCAGUAACCCAGCUGACACAAGUGAGUCAUAUGACUCCAUCAGGAAUGGAAUUAAUUGGUCCACUGUGGAAUUCUUCCACCUUGUUCUGCAGCCCAAAGGCAGAAGCAGAGGAAAUAGAUAUUGAAUUUUCCAAGAGUUGGGGUCAGACUGGUCACUGGAAUCUCAAGAGGGGCUUUAAAAAAACGCUGAAUUCUGAGAGCUAUCGUGGAGCAAUAAUAUGGAAAAACUAGGGGUGAGGUCCAGGAAUUUUUUUAAAAAGGGUCCCUCAGUG
RNAcentral lists this long non-coding RNA (669 nucleotides) under Equus caballus (horse). RNAcentral describes it as "lncRNA (ENSECAG00000028638.2)". Lineage: Eukaryota; Metazoa; Chordata; Mammalia; Perissodactyla; Equidae. The record is from RNAcentral.